This 64-nucleotide transfer RNA is filed under the name Cavia porcellus (domestic guinea pig). It matches the Rfam family "tRNA". Rfam says of the family: Transfer RNA (tRNA) molecules are approximately 80 nucleotides in length. Their secondary structure includes four short double-helical elements and three loops (D, anti-codon, and T loops). The record is from Rfam by way of RNAcentral. Lineage: Eukaryota; Metazoa; Chordata; Mammalia; Rodentia; Caviidae.
GGGGAUUUAGCUCAGUGGCUUAAGUGCCUGCCUGGCAAGCAUGAGGUUGAGAGUUCAAUCUCCA